CUCCACUCAGGCUUGAGUGUUCUUUUCUUUCUCAAUCCUCACUCCCCAACUCAGGCAUGUUAGUGUAGUGAUGGCUGGACCACCACAAGUGGUGCCCGAACAGGGACCUGAGUAUCGAGGGAUCCAGUGAAGGACACUGCUGGAUAAAGAAUAAAAGGAGAUCUCCACAAAAAGAAAAAAGAGGACCUUCAAAGGGAAGGCAAAAGAGGAGCGGUCCAGCCUUCAGUGGCCCAACUCUGACCACAUCCACCUGCUUACAUGGAGUUAUAGGCUGUAUUCACCCUUCAAGUCAGAGGUCAGUAGCAACAGCACAGACCACAGAAGCCACAAGGUGAGAAACAUU
This 343-nucleotide long non-coding RNA is filed under the name Fukomys damarensis (Damara mole-rat). RNAcentral's name for it is "lncRNA (ENSFDAG00000027122.1)". The record is from RNAcentral. Lineage: Eukaryota; Metazoa; Chordata; Mammalia; Rodentia; Bathyergidae.